This 474-nucleotide ribosomal RNA is filed under the name uncultured organism. RNAcentral describes it as "partial 16S ribosomal RNA". It matches the Rfam family "Bacterial small subunit ribosomal RNA", at positions 332 to 797 of the family's 1533-position model. The record is from RNAcentral.
UACACUCCUGCGGGAGGCAGCAGUGGGGAAUUUUGGACAAUGGGCGAAAGCCUGAUCCAGCAAUGCCGCGUGAGUGAAGAAGGCCUUCGGGUUGUAAAGCUCUUUUGUCAGGGAAGAAACGGUGAAAGCUAAUAUCUUUUGCUAAUGACGGUACCUGAAGAAUAAGCACCGGCUAACUACGUGCCAGCAGCCGCGGUAAUACGUAGGGUGCAAGCGUUAAUCGGAAUUACUGGGCGUAAAGCGUGCGCAGGCGGUUUUGUAAGUCUGAUGUGAAAUCCCCGGGCUCAACCUGGGAAUUGCAUUGGAGACUGCAAGGCUAGAAUCUGGCAGAGGGGGGUAGAAUUCCACGUGUAGCAGUGAAAUGCGUAGAUAUGUGGAGGAACACCGAUGGCGAAGGCAGCCCCCUGGGUCAAGAUUGACGCUCAUGCACGAAAGCGUGGGGAGCAAACAGGAUUAGAUACCCCAGUAGUCCCA